GCUCGCUGCAGGUUCUCCUGGCUCGGCGGCGCGGAGGCAAAGGCCUGUUUCUGCAAAGACUUUGUGAGGCCCCAUGACUCUUCCUCAACCUCCCGACCGCUGGAGGUCCCUGAUAGUUGAAUAAGCUAAGUGCAAUGUGCCCGCCCAGUUCUUUCCUGGAAGAUGAAACACAGCUCCCUGAGUCAGGAGACAGAAGAAUGGAUAAACAUUCCUCAAUUGCUGUUGAUAGGUUCUCACCCCAGAACCCAGGCAGUCGGCCUCAUGCUCCAGAGUGCAGGUCCCAUAAGGCGGCUACGAUUUUGUUCUGUCUCCACUCUGGGGAGUUGGAAGGCUGGAGCACGGACGAGCCAUCUCUCCCCCUACCUCCUGGUGAUGUUUGGAAAUCUUAAUUUUGUUUUAUAGGUCACAGGUCAGCCCAUCCAUGCCGAUCCUUGUAAUUGGACAGGACGUGCUUUGUGUGGUCUGAUUACAUCUUUUCUUUCAGACCCAAGGGGAGCCGUCAAUUAGAGCCGUGCUUGAGCCUAAGGCUGACCUGAACCGUUUGAAGGCAGAUCUUCCAUGGAGUGCCCCGGUACUACUUCAUUUCCAGGAAUCUUAAUUACAAGGCAUUACUCUGAUGGAUUGAAUGUAUUAAGUAGCCUCAAUUCACCCCAGUUUGCAGCCCUUUGGGAGGCGGCUCCCCUCCCAUCAUUUUCUGCCCCGCUUUGCUGCCCCAGUGCCAUGGCACCAGGAGGGCUUUGUUCCAAACCAACUUUGAGCUGUGAGUAUUAUCAGAGGCCCCUCCCCUGCCUGGAGGCCUUUCGGAAACUACUUUAUCUCUUGCAGGUCCUUUUCUGGAAAGGUCAAAGGGAUGAGAGGGGUCUCUGCAGUGUCCUGGAUCUGGUUUCAACCUCACCUUCUCCAUGUAUGAGAAGACAAGUCACUUGGAUUCACCAUGCCUCGGUUUCCCCAGAUGGCAAGCAGGACUCAGCCUUUUGUACCUGGUCCAUCAGAGGACGAGCUUUCACGUGUUAGCCAACACCUCCGUCAUCACCAUCAUUGCCAUGAUCAUCGUCCUCAUCACCUUGACACGCUGAGCUUUGUAGCUUAAAAACAAAAUGCCUUUAACAAUGUGCAACAGGUCUAAGAUGCCACCUUUGGGAUCAGAUGGGAGUUUGGGAUUAUUUCUAUUUUCCAAUUGUUCAGCCCCCUCCCACUAAGUGCGAAGCGGAGAGCCAUUAAGUUGCAAUGGAUUUGAUUCACCACGUGGCCCCUCAAAUCCUUUCUGGAACAAGAUUGGAUGUAAAAAUAAAUCAAAUAAAUGCA
This 1305-nucleotide long non-coding RNA is filed under the name Homo sapiens (human). Its description in RNAcentral is "novel transcript". Lineage: Eukaryota; Metazoa; Chordata; Mammalia; Primates; Hominidae. The record is from RNAcentral.